GUCUCAGAGCAGGAUGGGGCAUGCCCAUGUGAUCCUAAGGGCAGUUACACACUGGGACUCUUCGCUUUAAACUGUUUGAGGAGAUACCAAAAAACCCACAACGGAACAGGCUGCCGAAGCAGACGCUGUCUUUGCCCCACAAAAGCUGUGCCAUCUUGGAGCAGAUAAAACCCAGAACACAGGAGGGGAUGUUCCCAAUGUGGACAUGAUAACUACAGAGAGCAGCCUCUUUUGAGUGCCAAGUCACCUGAAAAUAUCCACACGUCUACUUUGAUCAGCUAUGUUGGACCCUCACCACAAAUAUUUUCUCUGUCCCCUCAACAUGAUAGACGUGCUGGACUUGUGCCCGAUAAAAUGUCCUGCCUUUCCUCUGUUCACUGCCUACAGCCUCUUGCUUGCCAUCAGUCUGCCUCUGCCCCAAUGAAGGAAGUCUGUGCCGCUUUGUUUCCACUAACCUGCUGGGAUGGUCUCAUUCCUCUGCUGUUACAAUUUCUUCUUAAGUAUAUAUGUCUAAAAACAAACCUAAGGAAAUGUACGAAAGUCCUUUACAAAAGCCACCAGCUGUUAUGAGGACCCUUAAAGAAGAUCUUAAUUAGGACCCU
Molecule: long non-coding RNA, 602 nt
Filed under: Fukomys damarensis (Damara mole-rat)
Lineage: Eukaryota; Metazoa; Chordata; Mammalia; Rodentia; Bathyergidae
Description: lncRNA (ENSFDAG00000028758.1)
Source: RNAcentral